GAUGAACGCUGGCGGCGUGCCUAAUACAUGCAAGUCGAGCGAACAGACGAGGAGCUUGCUCCUCUGACGUUAGCGGCGGACGGGUGAGUAACACGUGGAUAACCUACCUAUAAGACUGGGAUAACUUCGGGAAACCGGAGCUAAUACCGGAUAAUAUAUUGAACCGCAUGGUUCAAUAGUGAAAGACGGUUUUGCUGUCACUUAUAGAUGGAUCCCCGCCGCAUUAGCUAGUUGGGAAGGUAACGGCUUACCAAGGCGACGAUGCGUAGCCGACCUGCGGGGGUGAUCGGCCACACUGGAACUGAGACACGGUCCAGACUCCUACGUGAGGCAGCAGUAGGGAAUCUUCCGCAAUGGGCGAAAGCCUGACGGAGCAACGCCGCGUGAGUGAUGAAGGUCUUCGGAUCGUAAAACUCUGUUAUUAGGGAAGAUCAAAUGUGUAAGUAACUAUGCACGUCUUGACGGUACCUAAUCAGAAAGCCACGGCUAACUACGUG
RNAcentral lists this ribosomal RNA (497 nucleotides) under uncultured bacterium. Its description in RNAcentral is "partial 16S ribosomal RNA". It matches the Rfam family "Bacterial small subunit ribosomal RNA", at positions 28 to 507 of the family's 1533-position model. The record is from RNAcentral.